AAACUGUGAUGCGGGCACUUUCUCAAUAAGUCCUUGAAUCUUUCCCAAGCUUCAUACAAGCUUUCCUGAUCAUGGUGAGCAAAUUUCAUUAUCUCAUUGCGCAGUUU
Molecule: small nucleolar RNA, 107 nt
Filed under: Jatropha curcas
Lineage: Eukaryota; Viridiplantae; Streptophyta; Magnoliopsida; Malpighiales; Euphorbiaceae
Description: Plant small nucleolar RNA R71
Rfam family: Plant small nucleolar RNA R71
About the family: R71 is a member of the C/D box family of snoRNAs containing the C (UGAUGA) and D (CUGA) box motifs. Multiple nearly identical copies of this snoRNA have been identified in Arabidopsis, and it is thought to function as a 2'-O-ribose methylation guide for 18S ribosomal RNA.
Source: Rfam by way of RNAcentral